RNAcentral lists this ribosomal RNA (326 nucleotides) under Aphyosemion joergenscheeli. RNAcentral's name for it is "partial 12S ribosomal RNA". It matches the Rfam family "Bacterial small subunit ribosomal RNA", at positions 868 to 1360 of the family's 1533-position model. Lineage: Eukaryota; Metazoa; Chordata; Actinopteri; Cyprinodontiformes; Nothobranchiidae. The record is from RNAcentral.
CUCGCCAGGGGACUACAAGCAUAAGCUUAAAACCCAAAGGACUUGGCGGUGCUUUAGACCCACCUAGAGGAGCCUGUUCUAUAACCGAUAACCCCCGUUAAACCUCACCUUCUCUUGUUAUUUCCGCCUAUAUACCGCCGUCGUCAGCUUACCCUGUGAAGGUCAUUCAGUUAGCAAAAUUGAAUUUAUCCAAAACGCCAGGUCGAGGUGUAGCAUAUGAGAAGGAAAGAAAUGGGCUACAUUUUCUAACACAGAAAAUAACGGAAAUUACUAUGAAACAGUAAAUUAAAGGAGGAUUUAGCAGUAAGCAGGGAAUAGAGAGCCCC